UAAGACGUAGGGAGCGAGCGUUGUCCGGAUUCAUUGGGCGUAAAGAGCGCGCAGGCGGUUUGGUAAGUCGGAUGUGAAAGCCCGGGGCUCAACCCCGGACCUGCAUCCGAUACUGCCCGACUAGAGGUAGGUAGGGGAGAUCGGAAUUCCUGGUGUAGCGGUGAAAUGCGCAGAUAUCAGGAGGAACACCGGUGGCGAAGGCGGAUCUCUGGGCCUUACCUGACGCUCAGGCGCGAAAGCUAGGGGAGCGAACAGGAUUAGAUACCCUGGUAGUCCUAGCCGUAAACGUUGGGUGCUAGGUGUGGGGGGACAUCGACCCCCUCCGUGCCGAAGCUAACGCAUUAAGCACCCCGCCUGGGGAGUACGGCCGCAAGGCUA
RNAcentral lists this ribosomal RNA (378 nucleotides) under uncultured bacterium. Its description in RNAcentral is "bacterial SSU rRNA". It matches the Rfam family "Bacterial small subunit ribosomal RNA", at positions 521 to 896 of the family's 1533-position model. The record is from RNAcentral.